RNAcentral lists this ribosomal RNA (451 nucleotides) under Chromobacterium violaceum. RNAcentral's name for it is "bacterial SSU rRNA". It matches the Rfam family "Bacterial small subunit ribosomal RNA", at positions 54 to 500 of the family's 1533-position model. Lineage: Bacteria; Pseudomonadati; Pseudomonadota; Betaproteobacteria; Neisseriales; Chromobacteriaceae. The record is from RNAcentral.
CAUGCAAGUCGAACGGUAACAGGGUGCUUGCACCGCUGACGAGUGGCGAACGGGUGAGUAAUGCGUCGGAAUGUACCGUGUAAUGGGGGAUAGCUCGGCGAAAGCCGGAUUAAUACCGCAUACGCCCUGAGGGGGAAAGCGGGGGAUCGAAAGACCUCGCGUUAUACGAGCAGCCGACGUCUGAUUAGCUAGUUGGUGAGGUAAGAGCUCACCAAGGCGACGAUCAGUAGCGGGUCUGAGAGGAUGAUCCGCCACACUGGGACUGAGACACGGCCCAGACUCCUACGGGAGGCAGCAGUGGGGAAUUUUGGACAAUGGGGGCAACCCUGAUCCAGCCAUGCCGCGUGUCUGAAGAAGGCCUUYGGGUUGUAAAGGACUUUUGUCAGGGAGGAAAUCCCGCUGGUUAAUACCCGGCGGGGAUGACAGUACCUGAAGWAUAAGCACCGGCUAA